Molecule: non-coding RNA, 89 nt
Filed under: Prolemur simus (greater bamboo lemur)
Lineage: Eukaryota; Metazoa; Chordata; Mammalia; Primates; Lemuridae
Source: RNAcentral
GACAAGGAUAGAAGAGGCUCUCAGGCCUGUACAACAUGCAUGCAGUUAAGGCAUUGCCACCUACUUCGUGCAUCUAACCAUGGUUUAAA